RNAcentral lists this ribosomal RNA (465 nucleotides) under Vreelandella stevensii. RNAcentral describes it as "partial 16S ribosomal RNA". It matches the Rfam family "Bacterial small subunit ribosomal RNA", at positions 338 to 795 of the family's 1533-position model. Lineage: Bacteria; Pseudomonadati; Pseudomonadota; Gammaproteobacteria; Oceanospirillales; Halomonadaceae. The record is from RNAcentral.
CCUACGGGAGGCAGCAGUGGGGAAUAUUGGACAAUGGGCGAAAGCCUGAUCCAGCCAUGCCGCGUGUGUGAAGAAGGCCUUCGGGUUGUAAAGCACUUUCAGUGGGGAAGAAAGCCUUGGGGCUAAUACCCUCGAGGAAGGACAUCACCCACAGAAGAAGCACCGGCUAACUCCGUGCCAGCAGCCGCGGUAAUACGGAGGGUGCGAGCGUUAAUCGGAAUUACUGGGCGUAAAGCGCGCGUAGGCGGUCUGUUAAGCCGGUUGUGAAAGCCCCGGGCUCAACCUGGGAACGGCAUCCGGAACUGUCAGGCUAGAGUGCAGGAGAGGAAGGUAGAAUUCCCGGUGUAGCGGUGAAAUGCGUAGAGAUCGGGAGGAAUACCAGUGGCGAAGGCGGCCUUCUGGACUGACACUGACGCUGAGGUGCGAAAGCGUGGGUAGCAAACAGGAUUAGAUACCCUAGUAGUC